Molecule: ribosomal RNA, 281 nt
Filed under: uncultured bacterium
Lineage: Bacteria
Description: partial 16S ribosomal RNA
Rfam family: Bacterial small subunit ribosomal RNA
Source: RNAcentral
ACUCCUACGGGAGGCAGCAGUGGGAAUAUUGGACAAUGGGGGAAACCCUGAUCCAGCCAUGCCGCGUGUGUGAAGAAGGCCUUCGGGUUGUAAAGCACUUUCAGUGGGGAGGAAAGGUUGUUGGUUAAUACCUAACAGCUGUGACGUUACCCACAGAAGAAGCACCGGCUAACUCCGUGCCAGCAGCCGCGGUAAUACGGAGGGUGCGAGCGUUAAUCGGAAUUACUGGGCGUAAAGCGUACGCAGGCGGUUUGUUAAGCGAGAUGUGAAAGCCCCGGGCU